RNAcentral lists this transfer RNA (63 nucleotides) under Atkinsoniella wui. RNAcentral's name for it is "tRNA-Ser". Lineage: Eukaryota; Metazoa; Arthropoda; Insecta; Hemiptera; Cicadellidae. The record is from RNAcentral.
AGUUAUUUAGCUUAUAUAAAAGCAAAUAUUUUGAAAAUAUUAGAAAGAGAAAUUUAAUAACUU